GGCCCUGGACACAUUGCUGAGAUGGGCUGACCACCAAUACCAGGCCCAGUCAUUAAAAGUACCUGAUGUUAGAAGAUCAAGUGUUAAAUGUCAUAGCCUAGAAGGAGCAGUUCUGGGAGAAGAACCCAGAUGUCCUCAGUGCUCCACUCCAUACGAGCCCUGGGAUGCUGGGGUGUGAGCUAGGCCGUGCACAAGCCAUUAGAAGGUGUUCCACACAGGGGAGCGUCUCUACCCCCUUAUCCAUGAUGUCCACACCCAGCUGGCUGGCAAGAUCACGGGCAUGCUGCUGGAGAUUGACAACUCGGAGCUGUUGCUCAUGCUGGAGUCUCCAGAAUCCCUCCAUGCCAAGAAAAGGAAAUCCUCGCUUCCAUGGCUGCCAAAAGGACAGUGUUUCUGGCUCUCAGCCCUAAGGCCCUGCAAACUCUAACUUAUUUCCCAAUUAGUCUGUAUCUAUACUUGGGCUCUGUAUGUGAAUGAAGGUUGGUCACCCAUCCAGCCUAUUACCUUUUGCUUUGUGUAUUAAAAGUGCUGCAAAAUCUGC
RNAcentral lists this small RNA (541 nucleotides) under Pan troglodytes (chimpanzee). Its description in RNAcentral is "processed transcript". Lineage: Eukaryota; Metazoa; Chordata; Mammalia; Primates; Hominidae. The record is from RNAcentral.